CAUUUCUUUUCUCUUUCUCUCUCUCUCUCUCUCUAUUUUUUGAUUCGAAUUAAAGAAAUAAAGAGAGAAAGAGAGAGAGAGAGAAAAAAAUUAG
This 94-nucleotide non-coding RNA is filed under the name Brugia malayi. Lineage: Eukaryota; Metazoa; Nematoda; Chromadorea; Rhabditida; Onchocercidae. The record is from RNAcentral.